This 920-nucleotide ribosomal RNA is filed under the name uncultured bacterium. RNAcentral describes it as "bacterial SSU rRNA". It matches the Rfam family "Bacterial small subunit ribosomal RNA", at positions 555 to 1478 of the family's 1533-position model. The record is from RNAcentral.
UGGGCGUAAGGAUGCGUAGGCGGAUAUUUAAGUGAGAUGUGAAAUACCCGGGCUUAACUUGGGUGCUGCAUUUCAAACUGGAUAUCUAGAGUGCGGGAGAGGAGAAUGGAAUUCCUAGUGUAGCGGUGAAAUGCGUAGAGAUUAGGAAGAACACCAGUGGCGAAGGCGAUUCUCUGGACCGUAACUGACGCUGAGGCAUGAAAGCGUGGGUAGCAAACAGGAUUAGAUACCCUGGUAGUCCACGCCGUAAACGAUGAGUACUAGGUGUAGGAGGUAUCGACCCCUUCUGUGCCGCAGUUAACACAAUAAGUACUCCGCCUGGGAAGUACGAUCGCAAGAUUAAAACUCAAAGGAAUUGACGGGGGCCCGCACAAGCAGCGGAGCAUGUGGUUUAAUUCGAAGCAACGCGAAGAACCUUACCUGGACUUGACAUCCCCUGAAUAGCCUAGAGAUAGGUGAAGCCCUUCGGGGCAGGGAGACAGGUGGUGCAUGGUUGUCGUCAGCUCGUGUCGUGAGAUGUUAGGUUAAGUCCUGCAACGAGCGCAACCCCUAUCAUUAGUUGCUACCAUUAAGUUGAGCACUCUAGUGAGACUGCCCGGGUUAACCGGGAGGAAGGUGGGGAUGACGUCAAAUCAUCAUGCCCCUUAUGUCCAGGGCUACACACGUGCUACAAUGGUGGGUACAAAGAGAUGCAAGACCGCGAGGUGGAGCAAAAUCAAAAACCCAUCCCAGUUCGGAUUGUAGGCUGCAACUCGCCUACNUGAAGCCGGAGUUGCUAGUAUCGCGAAUCAGAAUGUCGCGUNGAAUACGUUCCCGGGCCUUGUACACACCGCCCGUCACACCAUGAGAGCUGGCUACACCCCGAAGUUCGUGAGGUAACCUGUAAAGGAGCCUGCGGCCGAAUGNGGGUUAGNGAUUGG